AACGCGUGGGUAACCUGCCUCACACAGGGGGAUAACAGUUGGAAACGGCUGCUAAUACCGCAUAAGCGCACAGUACCGCAUGGUACAGUGUGAAAAACUCCGGUGGUGUGAGAUGGACCCGCGUCUGAUUAGCUAGUUGGCAGGGUAACGGCCUACCAAGGCGACGAUCAGUAGCCGACCUGAGAGGGUGACCGGCCACAUUGGGACUGAGACACGGCCCAAACUCCUACGGGAGGCAGCAGUGGGGAAUAUUGCACAAUGGGGGAAACCCUGAUGCAGCGACGCCGCGUGAGCGAAGAAGUAUUUCGGUAUGUAAAGCUCUAUCAGCAGGGAAGAAGAAAUGACGGUACCUGACUAAGAAGCACCGGCUAAAUACGUGCCAGCAGCCGCGGUAAUACGUAUGGUGCAAGCGUUAUCCGGAUUUACUGGGUGUAAAGGGAGCGCAGGCGGAAGGCUAAGUCUGAUGUGAAAGCCCGGGGCUCAACCCCGGUACUGCAUUGGAAACUGGUCAUCUAGAGUGUCGGAGGGGUAAGUGGAAUUCCUAGUGUAGCGGUGAAAUGCGUAGAUAUUAGGAGGAACACCAG
This 584-nucleotide ribosomal RNA is filed under the name uncultured bacterium. Its description in RNAcentral is "bacterial SSU rRNA". It matches the Rfam family "Bacterial small subunit ribosomal RNA", at positions 112 to 712 of the family's 1533-position model. The record is from RNAcentral.